Molecule: unclassified non-coding RNA, 234 nt
Filed under: uncultured fungus
Lineage: Eukaryota; Fungi
Description: sequence contains ITS1, 5.8S rRNA gene
Rfam family: 5.8S ribosomal RNA (bases 186-234)
Source: RNAcentral
UCUCCGUAGGUGAACCUGCGGAGGGAUCAUUACAAGUGACCCCGGUCUUACCACCGGGAUGUUCAUAACCCUUUGUUGUCCGACUCUGUUGCCUCGGGGGCGACCCGGCGCUUCGGCGCCAGGGGGUCCCCGCUGGUCCACACAACUCUGCAUCUUUGCGUCUGAGUAAACAUUAAAUGAAACAAAACUUUCAACAACGGAUCUCUUGGUUCUGGCAUCGAUGAAGAACGCAGC